AGGUGGUGCAUGGUUGUCGUCAGCUCGUGUCGUGAGAUGUUGGGUUAAGUCCCGCAACGAGCGCAACCCUCGCCUCUAGUUGCCAGCAUUCGGUUGGGCACUCUAGAGGGACUGCCGGCGACAAGUCGGAGGAAGUGGGGAUGACGUCAAAUCAUCAUGCCCCUUAUGACCUGGGCUACACACGUGCUACAAUGGGCGGUACAAAGGGCUGCGAACCCGCGAGGGGGAGCGAAUCCCAAAAAGCCGCUCUCAGUUCGGAUUGCAGGCUGCAACUCGCCUGCAUGAAGCCGGAAUCGCUAGUAAUCGCGGAUCAGCAUGCCGCGGUGAAUACGUUCCCGGGCCUU
This 344-nucleotide ribosomal RNA is filed under the name uncultured Geobacillus sp. RNAcentral's name for it is "bacterial SSU rRNA". It matches the Rfam family "Bacterial small subunit ribosomal RNA", at positions 1036 to 1382 of the family's 1533-position model. Lineage: Bacteria; Bacillati; Bacillota; Bacilli; Caryophanales; Anoxybacillaceae. The record is from RNAcentral.